CAUGCAAGUCGAACGAUGAUCCGGUGCUUGCACCGGGGAUUAGUGGCGAACGGGUGAGUAACACGUGAGUAACCUGCCCUGGACUCUGGGAUAACCCCGAGAAAUCGGAGCUAAUACCGGAUAUGACCUUGGACCGCAUGGUUUGGGGUGGAAAGUUUUUUCGGUCUGGGAUGGACUCGCGGCCUAUCAGCUUGUUGGUGAGGUAAUGGCUCACCAAGGCGUCAACGGGUAGCCGGCCUGAGAGGGUGACCGGCCACACUGGGACUGAGACACGGCCCAGACUCCUACGGGAGGCAGCAGUGGGGAAUAUUGCACAAUGGGCGCAAGCCUGAUGCAGCAACGCCGCGUGAGGGAUGACGGCCUUCGGGUUGUAAACCUCUUUUAGUAAGGAAGAAGGGGCCUCUUUCGGGGUCUUGACGGUACUUGCAGAAAAAGCACCGGCUAACUACGUGCCAGCAGCCGCGGUAAUACGUAGGGUGCGAGCGUUGUCCGGAAUUAUUGGGCGUAAAGAGCUCGUANGCGGUUUGUCGCGUCUGCUGUGAAAUCCCGAGGCUCAACCUCGGGUCUGCAGUGGGUACGGGCAGACUGGAGUGCGGUAGGGGAGAAUGGAAUUCCUGGUGUAGCGGUGGAAUGCGCAGAUAUCAGGAGGAA
Molecule: ribosomal RNA, 651 nt
Filed under: uncultured bacterium
Lineage: Bacteria
Description: bacterial SSU rRNA
Rfam family: Bacterial small subunit ribosomal RNA
Source: RNAcentral